GAAAGCGGCGAUAGCACGUUAAAUGCACCAGUUCCCUACGGAUCACUGAAGUUAAGCAACGUAGCGCGUAGUUAGUACCUGGAUGGGUGACCAUCUGGGGGAAUCGCGUGCUGCUGGGU
RNAcentral lists this ribosomal RNA (119 nucleotides) under Diaphorina citri (Asian citrus psyllid). Lineage: Eukaryota; Metazoa; Arthropoda; Insecta; Hemiptera; Psyllidae. The record is from RNAcentral.